GCAGGUAUAGUUUAGUGGUAGAACAAGUGCUUCCCAAGCAUUUAGUGUGGGUUCGAUUCCCAUUACUUGCUCCA
Molecule: transfer RNA, 74 nt
Filed under: Bacillota bacterium
Lineage: Bacteria; Bacillati; Bacillota
Also listed under: 1 other name
Description: tRNA-Gly
Rfam family: tRNA
About the family: Transfer RNA (tRNA) molecules are approximately 80 nucleotides in length. Their secondary structure includes four short double-helical elements and three loops (D, anti-codon, and T loops). Further hydrogen bonds mediate the characteristic L-shaped molecular structure. tRNAs have two regions of fundamental functional importance: the anti-codon, which is responsible for specific mRNA codon recognition, and the 3' end, to which the tRNAs corresponding amino acid is attached (by aminoacyl-tRNA synthetases). tRNAs cope with the degeneracy of the genetic code in two manners: having more than one tRNA (with a specific anti-codon) for a particular amino acid; and 'wobble' base-pairing, i.e. permitting non-standard base-pairing at the 3rd anti-codon position.
Source: RNAcentral